AAAACAUUAGAUUGUGAAUCUAACAAUAGAAACUCAUUACC
This 41-nucleotide transfer RNA is filed under the name Bison priscus (steppe bison). RNAcentral describes it as "partial tRNA-His". Lineage: Eukaryota; Metazoa; Chordata; Mammalia; Artiodactyla; Bovidae. The record is from RNAcentral.